GUGUCAGCCGCCGCGGUAAUACGGAGGAGGCAAGCGUUAUCCGGAAUUAUUGGGCGUAAAGCGUCCGCAGGCGGCUUAUCAAGUCUGCUGUCAAAGACUGGGGCUCAACCCUGGGAAGGCAGUGGAAACUGAGAAGCUAGAGUGCAGUAGGGGUAGAGGGAAUUCCCAGUGUAGCGGUGAAAUGCGUAGAGAUUGGGAAGAACACCGGUGGCGAAAGCGCUCUACUGGGCUGCAACUGACGCUGAGGGACGAAAGCUAGGGGAGCGAAAGGGAUUAGAUACCCCUGUAGUCCUAGCCGUAAACGAUGGGUACUAGGCGUAGCUUGUAUCGACCCGAGCUGUGCCGAAGUUAACACGUUAAGUACCCCGCCUGGGGAGUACGCACGCAAGUGUGAAACUCAAAGGAAUUGACGGGG
This 415-nucleotide ribosomal RNA is filed under the name uncultured cyanobacterium. Its description in RNAcentral is "bacterial SSU rRNA". It matches the Rfam family "Bacterial small subunit ribosomal RNA", at positions 505 to 918 of the family's 1533-position model. The record is from RNAcentral. Lineage: Bacteria; Bacillati; Cyanobacteriota.